AUGGGAUCCGCAAGGCAAGUCUCCCUCACUUGCAAGCCACUGCAACUUUUUCAAAUCCACCCCUCUACAAAGCCAAGCUUCACUCUUCCCCCGUCUUCGUCGCCACUUCAAUUCUUCAACGCCUCCAGCCGGCCGCGAUCGCCCAAAUCCCGCCGGCCACAGAUCCCGAUGCCCGCCGCCGUGGCCGCCGCGGCGGCGGUCGCAGCCUCGGGCGGCGCGCUCCUAGUAUACCUGCUCAUCACCACCUGCCGGCCGCCGGGCGCCGAGGGGCCGGCGUCGCCGGGGGAGGAGGCGCCGCUGCUGACGUCGCGGCCUGAGGACGGCGAGGGGCCGUGGCCGCACAGCCCUCCGGUCUCGUGCUGCGAGGCCGCUGCGGUGGCCGCGCGCACGGCGCGCCGCGCGUGGGAGCUCACCGUCGGCCGGUGGGGCCUCCACGGCCUCGCCUUCGGGAUCAAGCGCCACAUGAAGCGCCAGGGUAAUUUGCAGCAUGAGUAUCGUGGAAGUGACUGCCUUCAACUAAAAGGUCACGAUGCACAUACUGAAGUAGCUUAUCUUCUUGAGCACUUGAAGCUUUGCAUGUUCUACUCAAAGAAUAGGUUUUCUGAAUUUCUCAAGUUUGGUGGGUACAGUCAAGAGGACGUUCUCAUCCACAAGUCUAGGGCGAGGCUUAUGCAGCCUUCCUUCGUACUUGUGCGUGACCAAAAAGCCAAGUGUUUUCUGCUUUUCAUCCGUGGUGCUAUCAGUCCUAGGGAGCGCCUGACAGCAGCAAGUUCUGUAGAAGUUCCUUUCCACCAUAUAGUUCUGAAUGAAGGACAGAUUGACAAUGUAAUCUUAGGGUAUGCACAUUGUGGAAUGCUUGCUGCAGCUCGCUGGAUCUCUAACCUUGUCAUGCCCCCUCUGCGCAAUGCAGUACGAGAAUUUCCUGACUACCAAAUAAAGGUCAUCGGGCACUCAAUGGGAGCAGGUAUUGGGGCAAUUCUGACAUAUAUUCUUCGUGAGCAUUAUGAUUUUACAUCAUGCACGUGUCUAGCCUUUGGUCCUGCUGCCUGUAUGACAUGGGAGCUGGCAGAAUCAGGGAAAGAUUUUAUCACUUCUCUUGUCAACAGAGAUGAUGUGGUGCCAGCACUUUCGAAAGUUGCUAUGGAGAGCUUGCGAUCUGAGGUAAUGGUAUCAUCAAAGCUGGAUGAUCCGCAGGAUGAAGCUCACCUUGGUUUAUUCGCGAAAAUAAGUCAGCGUGUAGCUUUUGCAAAGUCUCACAUGCUGUCCAUCUCUCAUUCAACGGGAAAGACUGCAGAUCCUGACUCUAGCAUUUCUGAGCCUUUACUGAAAGAAGCAGUAGAAAUCACACAGCCUGAAGAAAAUGGGCUGAAAAUUGACUGUAUCCAUGAAGCAUAUUUCGUGGCAAAUCCAGAACAGGACCUUUCAGCCGUAUCUGUCGAUGCUUCUGCAGAACGGGUCAUACUAGUUAACAAUGAUGGUGAUGUCAGUGUCAAGUCUGCUGCUGGGUCGGCAGUAUCUGCAUCACAAGGGGAUGUUGAAAGCAAUGCAACAUUGGACAGCGAGCAAGCGUCGUCGACAGCAAAGGAAGAAGCGUCCCAGAAUCUGAACGGUAGCGGUAAAGAAAAACAGAAAGAAUCUCCCUCCGCCCCCGCACUGCGCCAACUUUUCCCUCCCGGGAGAAUUAUUCAUAUGGUCGCGCAGCCCUCACCGGACCCGAAUCCUGGAGAAGGCACCAGCAGCAAGGAGGCCAUCAGUAUAUAUGAAACGCCAAGAGAUUUGUAUGGCAGAAUAAGGCUCGCGCCAAAUAUGAUAGACGAGCAUUACAUGCCUAGUUACAUAAGUACAAUGGAGUUAUUGUUGGAACAGCUUCAGAGCGAUAACAUUGUAAGUAGAGCAUCAGACGAUUUGUGA
RNAcentral lists this ribosomal RNA (1911 nucleotides) under Triticum aestivum (bread wheat). Its description in RNAcentral is "partial small subunit ribosomal RNA". The record is from RNAcentral. Lineage: Eukaryota; Viridiplantae; Streptophyta; Magnoliopsida; Poales; Poaceae.